GACAUGAGGGAUUUUGAAGAGGCGACCGGACUCAAGAAUAUAUAUUGACACGGUGAGUGAAGUAUCGUGCUAUUGAUUUUUUCCAACUGUUUUACAAUGAUUCUGUGUUUGAACAGAUUAUCAGUGCGACGAAUGAGAAUGCAGCCUACAAGUGAACGAGCGAUCACAACAACAACAAAGAUCAAUCUGUGAUAUCUUCUCUGUGAUGUCAUUCUUAUAGUAGCUGUGGUUCAAUGUUCAGAUGUGCAUGAAGAGAAUU
This is a long non-coding RNA of Haliotis rufescens (red abalone), 259 nucleotides long. RefSeq lists it as uncharacterized. NCBI's taxonomy places the organism in Eukaryota, Metazoa, Mollusca, Gastropoda, Lepetellida, Haliotidae. The transcript has 3 exons. The record is from RefSeq and is a predicted model, not a curated record.